UCCCCUUCGAUUCCCUCCUCCUCUACCAGCGCGUGGCCGCCGCCGCCUACCCUCAGCCACACUGGCGACCAUCUCCGCCUCUUUCUCGAUCUGCUACCGUCGCGCGCCGUGCUUCUAGAUCAGGUGCAGAGCGCCUCCUAGGAGAGCAGGGCGGCAUGAUUUUCUUGAUGUGUGUGGAGGAGCAGGGGAGGAGGAGGAGGAGGACAGGAGCAGCGAGGUGGGAGCUCCAGGCGGUGCCAGGGUGUGCGAAAAGCCCGAGCCGAGGAUGUGAAGGUCCCUCCCGGCCCAUCAUUGUUCAAGGCAUGGGGUUGCUGCCUGAUUUGAAGUUGAUUUGAGAUUGCUGCUUGUCGUUGGUCGUAAGCAGAGACUUUGUGGUGGUCAAAGUCUCCCACCUCCAGCGGUUGGUUUCCAAUGGUUCAUGCAACGAAAUGGACUCUUGUGUCCAGCCUGGAGUGUGCAGUGUAGUGGCUGGUAGGGAAAGUACAGAGGAAUCUGCUUACAGAGUGUCUUAAUCUGAGAGAUUUUACCUGCUCAGCAAAGUGUAAAAAGGCUGCUCGACAAAGUGUAAAAUGGUAAAGAUCCGAGAAAGAAGAGAAGAAGAGUAAUCUAGCGGAGGAAGGUCUUCUCUCUUGUGGAACAUAAUAAGUUGCAGUGGUGGAAGAUAUAUCCUCGGCCAUGAAUGGAUGUGUUUGACAUUGUGAGAUGGUGUAGGUCACUGAUGAGGCAAGUGACCGAGGUGAGCUCAUGAAGACAAAGCGGCACAAAUAAACUUCUGACAAGCUCAUAGGAAACUUUUGUGAUUGGCAAUUAGCAUCAACACUUUGAAGAGCUCGGUGUAGUGGUUUGAAUGACCACCCCCUGCUAUCCAAUACUGCGGAGAGCUUGAAGCAUUGAAGUGAAGCUGAAAGAUCGUGGAUGUCGCCUAGGGGGGGGGGGGGUGAAUAGGCGUUUUAAAAUAAUUAUGGUUUAGGCUUGAACAAUUGCGGAAUAAACCUAGCGGUUAAUUUGACAAGCACAAAACCUAC
Aegilops tauschii subsp. strangulata is the source of this 1025-nucleotide long non-coding RNA. RefSeq lists it as uncharacterized. The record is from RefSeq and is a predicted model, not a curated record. NCBI's taxonomy places the organism in Eukaryota, Viridiplantae, Streptophyta, Magnoliopsida, Poales, Poaceae.